UGGGUAAAAAUGCUAUAUAGAUUUGAGAAAUAACCUACAUGAUCAACAUAUAUAAGAGUAGAAUUGACAUAUAGUAAGCCUAACCUGAGAUAAAUUUUGUACAACAAUUUUUCCCUUUUAUUGGCACAUUCUUGCGGCAUUAUAUGAAACUAAAAUCCAUCCAUGUUCUUAAAUUUCUUCUCAUGAACAAUGAAAAUAACUUGAUGCAAGCUCCCUUUGAAGCUAUUUCAAUGAAAAUGUGCUUUGGAAAACUAAAAGGUAAGACCAAAGUGAAAGCAUAAACAUUAUCUUUGAAAUACCACUACCAUGUAGGAGCACUAGUUUCAUGACAAUCCAAAAUAGCUAUAGCUAAAU
RNAcentral lists this long non-coding RNA (354 nucleotides) under Lupinus angustifolius (narrow-leaved blue lupine). RNAcentral's name for it is "long non-coding RNA (LANG_LNC003450)". Lineage: Eukaryota; Viridiplantae; Streptophyta; Magnoliopsida; Fabales; Fabaceae. The record is from RNAcentral.